This 240-nucleotide ribosomal RNA is filed under the name Ochromonas sp. CCMP1393. RNAcentral describes it as "partial Bacterial large subunit ribosomal RNA". It matches the Rfam family "Bacterial large subunit ribosomal RNA", at positions 2159 to 2398 of the family's 2925-position model. The record is from RNAcentral. Lineage: Eukaryota; Chrysophyceae; Chromulinales; Chromulinaceae.
GAAUUUGUGUCGCCAGGCAUGAUGGAGCCAACGUUGAAAUACCACCCUGGUGUGUUUGAGGUUCUAACCUAGGUCCAUUAUCUGGAUCGGGGACAGUGCAUGGUAGGCAGUUUGACUGGGGCGGUCUCCUCCCAAAGCGUAACGGAGGAGUUCGAAGGUACGCUAGUUACGGUCGGACAUCGUGACGAUAGUGCAAUGGCAUAAGCGUGCUUAACUGCGAGACUGACAAGUCGAGCAGAG